Molecule: ribosomal RNA, 1743 nt
Filed under: Escherichia coli
Lineage: Bacteria; Pseudomonadati; Pseudomonadota; Gammaproteobacteria; Enterobacterales; Enterobacteriaceae
Description: partial 23S ribosomal RNA
Rfam family: Bacterial large subunit ribosomal RNA
Source: RNAcentral
UGACUGACCGAUAGUGAACCAGUACCGUGAGGGAAAGGCGAAAAGAACCCCGGCGAGGGGAGUGAAAAAGAACCUGAAACCGUGUACGUACAAGCAGUGGGAGCCUCUUUAUGGGGUGACUGCGUACCUUUUGUAUAAUGGGUCAGCGACUUAUAUUCUGUAGCAAGGUUAACCGAAUAGGGGAGCCGAAGGGAAACCGAGUCUUAACUGGGCGUUAAGUUGCAGGGUAUAGACCCGAAACCCGGUGAUCUAGCCAUGGGCAGGUUGAAGGUUGGGUAACACUAACUGGAGGACCGAACCGACUAAUGUUGAAAAAUUAGCGGAUGACUUGUGGCUGGGGGUGAAAGGCCAAUCAAACCGGGAGAUAGCUGGUUCUCCCCGAAAGCUAUUUAGGUAGCGCCUCGUGAACUCAUCUCCGGGGGUAGAGCACUGUUUCGGCAAGGGGGUCAUCCCGACUUACCAACCCGAUGCAAACUGCGAAUACCGGAGAAUGUUAUCACGGGAGACACACGGCGGGUGCUAACGUCCGUCGUGAAGAGGGAAACAACCCAGACCGCCAGCUAAGGUCCCAAAGUCAUGGUUAAGUGGGAAACGAUGUGGGAAGGCCCAGACAGCCAGGAUGUUGGCUUAGAAGCAGCCAUCAUUUAAAGAAAGCGUAAUAGCUCACUGGUCGAGUCGGCCUGCGCGGAAGAUGUAACGGGGCUAAACCAUGCACCGAAGCUGCGGCAGCGACACUAUGUGUUGUUGGGUAGGGGAGCGUUCUGUAAGCCUGCGAAGGUGUGCUGUGAGGCAUGCUGGAGGUAUCAGAAGUGCGAAUGCUGACAUAAGUAACGAUAAAGCGGGUGAAAAGCCCGCUCGCCGGAAGACCAAGGGUUCCUGUCCAACGUUAAUCGGGGCAGGGUGAGUCGACCCCUAAGGCGAGGCCGAAAGGCGUAGUCGAUGGGAAACAGGUUAAUAUUCCUGUACUUGGUGUUACUGCGAAGGGGGGACGGAGAAGGCUAUGUUGGCCGGGCGACGGUUGUCCCGGUUUAAGCGUGUAGGCUGGUUUUCCAGGCAAAUCCGGAAAAUCAAGGCUGAGGCGUGAUGACGAGGCACUACGGUGCUGAAGCAACAAAUGCCCUGCUUCCAGGAAAAGCCUCUAAGCAUCAGGUAACAUCAAAUCGUACCCCAAACCGACACAGGUGGUCAGGUAGAGAAUACCAAGGCGCUUGAGAGAACUCGGGUGAAGGAACUAGGCAAAAUGGUGCCGUAACUUCGGGAGAAGGCACGCUGAUAUGUAGGUGAAGUCCCUCGCGGAUGGAGCUGAAAUCAGUCGAAGAUACCAGCUGGCUGCAACUGUUUAUUAAAAACACAGCACUGUGCAAACACGAAAGUGGACGUAUACGGUGUGACGCCUGCCCGGUGCCGGAAGGUUAAUUGAUGGGGUCAGCGCAAGCGAAGCUCUUGAUCGAAGCCCCGGUAAACGGCGGCCGUAACUAUAACGGUCCUAAGGUAGCGAAAUUCCUUGUCGGGUAAGUUCCGACCUGCACGAAUGGCGUAAUGAUGGCCAGGCUGUCUCCACCCGAGACUCAGUGAAAUUGAACUCGCUGUGAAGAUGCAGUGUACCCGCGGCAAGACGGAAAGACCCCGUGAACCUUUACUAUAGCUUGACACUGAACAUUGAGCCUUGAUGUGUAGGAUAGGUGGGAGGCUUAGAAGUGUGGACGCCAGUCUGCAUGGAGCCGACCUUGAAAUACCACCCUU